GAGGGCUGGAGCAGACGGGCUUGAGAUGGCUGACGUGGAAUGUGGGAUGAAUCCUCAUGGACCGAGGCAAAGCGAGCCAGCCAGACACCGUCUUGGUGACGGUGAAUGGGCCAAUGAAUCUUUGUGCCAACUUACGUGACUUCAGCCAAAGUCACGUUGUCACGAUCUGGGUUUUGUGUCUAGUUGUUCCUGUUUUAUUUUGGUAAUCUCCUGGUUUCUGUUCCUGUUUUAGCUUUACUUCCGGGUUUUGUUCUUGUCACAGCUGUCCCUGCUUCACCUGAUCGUUAUUCACACCUGCACUGUAUCAGUAAUCAAGUCACGUUGCAUUUAACCACCACCAGUGUCCUCAGUUCCCCGCCAGAUCGUUGUUUGUGUGUUUACCGUUGUUCCCAGUUCGCUGUUCCUGUCCGGCCAGAUCGUUGUUUGUGUGUUACCGUUGUUCCAGUUCGUUGUCUCUGAGCCUGCCACGUCUGUCUGGAUUAUCUACUGUUACCUGUGUAUGACCCCGGACCGUUGUGACCUGAGUUUUGGAUUAAAUAUCAGUUUGACCGCAUCUCCUUGUCUAUCGUCUCAUCGCUGUGCAUUUGGGUCCGUUCAUUGCCGCUCGCUGACAGAACGAUCUGGCCAGACUUGGACCCAGCCAGCGCCAACCUGCACCCAGGUCGGUUACGAGUUUCGUUCCCGUAUUUUCCUUUUUUUCCGUCUGUUUGGCUCCGUGCGCAAGUCACUCGCCGGAGCAAUGGAGUUUUCCUGCCCGAGUCUGCCGGUGGAUAUUCGCGGAGACCUAGAGAGGUUCGCUAAGGCAUACGCGGAAGCGCACAGCCUUGAGGACCGUCUCCGCCACGUAAAGCAGGGCAUCGAAUUGCUGACGGCUGAGUUUUGGUGGCGUGCGUAUCCCGGAGUGCAGACGUACUACGAGAGACUUCAUUCGCUGCAGAGGGAAUUGGCGUGCGCGCUGCAUGCAUCGUCCGCCCGUGUCUCCGCAGCUGCUCCUACCGCUGUUUCAUCGCUUUACGUUCCCGUUCCUGUUCCUGUCGCCGCUCCGGCGGCUCCAGCCCAAGUUCCAGUCGCCGUGGCCUCGUUUCACCAUGCGGACCCCGUUACAGAGGUCCGGUCCACACCGCUCCCAGCGCCUCAAACGACGGACAGUCGCAGCUGCUCCGGACGGCGACGGCGGAGGCGCGGUUCCAGGAUUCCGGGUCCCGCGGUCUCGGUCAGGGGGACCGAGCAGCCUCCUUCUCCGACAGAGGAGCCCCUUGAUUCUCCGACUGACUGUGUCCCUCUGAUAACAGGCAUCCCAGACAGCGUCGCCCGACGGGUCCACCUCCUCUGCUCUCCUCCAGUUGCGUUUCUCUUUGCCCAUCUCAUGAACACCGCCGAUUCGGCAGCAGACCAGGGCACGAGAGAACAAUUGUUCGAGGAAGCAGCCGCUCUCGUCCUGAGGGAACCUGUCCUGCGUGAGGUCCUGCAACUCCCGGUCCUGCAGCCAGCAGCCGCUUCAUGUCCCACCUCUCAGUCAGGUCAGUCGAGCCCAGUUCAGUCUCCAGUCCAGCCGAGCCCUAUUCAGUCUCCAGUCCAGCCGAGCCCUGUUCAGUCUCCAGUCCAGCCGAGCCCUGUUCAGUCUCCAGUCCAGCCGAGCCCUGUUCAGUCUCCAGUCCAGCCGAGCCCUGUUCAGUCUCCAGUCCAGUCGAGCCCAGUCCAGGUUCCCGUCCAGUCGAGCCCAGUCCAGGUUCCCGUCCAGUCGAGCCCAGUACAGGUCUCAGUCCAGUCGAGCCCAGUUCAGGUUCCAGCCCAGUCGAGCCCAGUCCAGUCGAGCCCAGUCCCAGUUCAGUCGAGCCCUGUCCCAGUUCAGUCGAGCCCUGUCCCAGUUCAGUCGAGCCCUGUCCCAGUUCAGUCCAGUCACGCGCAGGUCUUAUCCCAGUCAGAGGACUCCACCUGUCGAACGGGUGCUGUGCACACCCGAUCAGGCCCGACGUCUCCUCCGUCGAGCUCGGCAGCUGUAAGCAGUCAUGCCGGCUCCGGAGGGGACGCCGUCCCAGUUCCUGUCGGCCAUGUUGCGGCCGUUCCUGUCGGCCAUGUUGCGGCCGUUCCUGUCGGCCAUGUUGCGGCCGUUCCAGUCCCCGUUCCUGUUUCUGUCGGCCAUGUUGAGGCCGUUCCAGAUCCAGUUCCUGUCCCUGUCGGCCAUGUUGAGGCCGUUCCAGAUCCAGUUCCUGUCCCUGUCGGCCAUGUUGAGGCCGUUCCAGUUCCUGUCCCUGUCGGCCAUGUUGAGGCCGUUCCAGUUCCUGUCCCUGUCGGCCAUGUCGAGGCCGUUCCAGUUCCUGUCCCUGUCGGCCAUGUCGAGGCCGUUCCAGUUCCUGUCCCUGUCGGCCAUGUCGAGGCCGUUCCAGUUCCUGUCCCUGUCGGCCAUGUCGAGGCCGUUCCAGUUCCUGUCCCUGUCGGCCAUGUCGAGGCCGUUCCAGAUCCAGUUCCUGUCCCUGUCGGCCAUGUUGAGGCCGUUCCAGUUCCUGUCCCUGUCGGCCAUGUCGAGGCCGUUCCAGUUCCUGUCCCUGUCGGCCAUGUCGAGGCCGUUCCAGUUCCUGUCCCUGUCGGCCAUGUCGAGGCCGUUCCAGUUCCUGUCCCUGUCGGCCAUGUCGAGGCCGUUCCUGUCCCUGUCAGUCUCGGGGUGGCAGUCCCGGCGGACCUCCAGGAGGAGGUCGCGCCAGCUGCAGUCCCCGCGCACCUCCAGGAGGAGGUCGCGCCAGCUGCAGUCCCCGCGCACCUCCAGGAGGAGGUCGCGCCAGCUGCAGUCCCCGCGCACCUCCAGGAGGAGGUCGCGCCAGCUGCAGUCCCCGCGCACCUCCAGGAGGAGGUCGCGCCAGCGGCAGUCCCCGCGCACCUCCAGGAGGAGGUCGCGCCAGCGGCAGUCCCCGCGCACCUCCAGGAGGAGGUCGCGCCAGCGGCAGUCCCCGCGCACCUCCAGGAGGGGGUCGCGCCAGCCGCAGUCCCCGCGCACCUCCAGGAGGGGGUCGCGCCAGCCGCAGUCCCCGCGCACCUCCAGGAGGGGGUCGCGCCAGCCGCAGUCCCCGCGCACCUCCAGGAGGGGGUCGCGCCAGCCGCAGUCCCCGCGCACCUCCAGGAGGGGGUCGCGCCAGCCGCAGUCCCGGCGGACCUCCAGGAGGGGGUCGCGCCCGCCGCAGUCCCGGCGGACCUCCAGGAGGGGGUCGCGCCCGUCAUAGUUCUGGCCGUACCUGCAUCGGUCCCUGGCGGCUCGGCCGCACCUGCAUCGGUUCCUGGCGGCCCGGCGCUGACCGCGUUGCCACGUCUGUUCUCGCUUCGGCAGCUGGACUGGUGGCCUCGCCCUCGGCGCUUCCGGCCGUUUGGGUGGCGCUGCCUCCUGCGGCGACGUCCACCUCGACCCCUCGGUCUCCAGGAUCGGCGUCGUCCUGGAGGACGUCGCCGUUCGGGGGGGUCCCCGUGGACGCUGGCCCAGCCCAAGGGCGCUGGGGGUGCCCUCCUGCCUCAGCGGCGGUUGAGCAGGAUCUCGCCGCGUCCCCACCCUCCGUGAGGGACUCCCUGGACUCUGUUGUUUUCCUGGUCGGGGACUUUUGCUCUUGUUUUGUGGACAUUCAAGUUGGGUUCUCUUGAUUAUGAGACGUGUUCUUUGUUUUUUUUGGUCGGUCUGUGUUCGGGCGAAUUCUGUUUGAUAGGGGUUCCCGUUUUGCCCUCCCCCGGUCCGCCCUCCACCCGCCCUGUCUGUGUCCUGUGCGGGUUGUUUUUGGUUCUGUCCCUCCGCCGGUCCUCCCUCCGCCCGCCCUGCUCGGGUUUGUUGUUUUUUUUGGUCGUCUGGAAUCCGCCCUUGAGAGGGGGGUACUGUCACGAUCUGGGUUUUGUGUCUAGUUGUUCCUGUUUUAUUUUGGUAAUCUCCUGGUUUCUGUUCCUGUUUUAGCUUUACUUCCGGGUUUUGUUCUUGUCACAGCUGUCCCUGCUUCACCUGAUCGUUAUUCACACCUGCACUGUAUCAGUAAUCAAGUCACGUUGCAUUUAACCACCACCAGUGUCCUCAGUUCCCCGCCAGAUCGUUGUUUGUGUGUUUACCGUUGUUCCCAGUUCGCUGUUCCUGUCCGGCCAGAUCGUUGUUUGUGUGUUACCGUUGUUCCAGUUCGUUGUCUCUGAGCCUGCCACGUCUGUCUGGAUUAUCUACUGUUACCUGUGUAUGACCCCGGACCGUUGUGACCUGAGUUUUGGAUUAAAUAUCAGUUUGACCGCAUCUCCUUGUCUAUCGUCUCAUCGCUGUGCAUGUGGGUCCGUUCAUUGCCGCUCGCUGACACACGUAAGUUCAAAUGAAGGUCCCUGGGGGACAUGGAUCCAGUCUUUGCUGAAUCCAUGUGUAUUUGCCCCUGGGAGAUAAUGAAACCAAGAAAGGAAACUGUUGACACAUGAAAUUCACAUUUUGACAAAUAGUUGCUCGAGUAAGUGCUUGAGGACCCGUUGCAAAUGGGAGCGGUGUUCCUCCUCAGUCUGUGAAAAAAUCUAAAUAUCGUCAAGGUAAACAAAAACAAAGGA
This 4542-nucleotide long non-coding RNA is filed under the name Betta splendens (Siamese fighting fish). RNAcentral describes it as "lncRNA (ENSBSLG00000024328.1)". Lineage: Eukaryota; Metazoa; Chordata; Actinopteri; Anabantiformes; Osphronemidae. The record is from RNAcentral.